Molecule: long non-coding RNA, 721 nt
Organism: Syngnathus typhle (broad-nosed pipefish)
Lineage: Eukaryota; Metazoa; Chordata; Actinopteri; Syngnathiformes; Syngnathidae
Exons: 2
Source: RefSeq, a predicted model, not a curated record
CUGUGUGAGGGUACAUGACAGUGUUUCCUUUGAGAGAUUAGACAGAAAUAUUGACUCUUUUUGUGUGUGAUCCAUAUUUAUGAUGACUUAGGACUGCUUGUCGUAAUUCUUGUUUACACUUGUUUUUGUUUUUUUUAAAAGUUACUGGUCUAGGAUUUUAUUUAUUUAUUUAUUUUUUGCCUCUCUAAAUUGUGAUCGCCUGACUGCAGACUAAAAAGAGCUCAUCUGAUGCAGAUUUUGAGAAUCAACAUUUUCAAGGUUAUUGUAUUUUCUUCUCCCCUCAGAAUUGAGUGGUUUCAUAUUUAUUUCCCUCUGCUUGGUCUGAACAAGCACUUGACUGCUGGAGCUGUCAUGGUUCUUGGUUCUGACUGUCCAGUGUUUUUCCACUGCCAGAGCCAGGUGGAUGGGGGGAGCCUCUGGCACACACCUGUUUGGUAGCCUCAUGAGCUGACUAUUUAAGGAGAUGGAAGCUGGCCGCCGCAACGUUGCAUUCUGCUGGUUGUGCUGUUUGAUUGUGUGGUUGAUUUCCAUCACAGUUGUCUCUCUCAAUUUUCAGUCAGUCUUACUUGAUGCAGUGCGCCGCAGUGAGGACCCACUCAGAUGCAAUCAAGGUUCCCCCACAAACAUGACUCCAGCUCCCACUGCUGUCUGACUGAAGGGAAACCUGCACAACACAAUUACAUAGCAGGCAGACAGUAUGAAAUGCGUAAUUUUGAUCCAU